CUGAUAUUUUGAGCUUAUGUUUCCCUUAUGCGUCAGUAGGAAGAUUUUGUUCCAUUCCAUGUCCGUGAGCUCAGUCCCCGUUUCUAUUUCCCACCGCCUCGUGAAGCCCAAGGCGUCCUUAUCUCCGUUAUUCAUUAGAGCGGUAUACAGAGUUGACACGCCGUGUGAGAUGUGUUGCCUGGUCGCGCAUAGUUGUUCCAGAUACGAGAGGGGGCGGUGUACGUGAUCCUUCCCCUUGAUAGCGUUGAAGUACGUUUUGAGCUGGUGGUAAUGGAAUUCGUCCA
Molecule: non-coding RNA, 284 nt
Organism: Pelobates cultripes (western spadefoot toad)
Lineage: Eukaryota; Metazoa; Chordata; Amphibia; Anura; Pelobatidae
Source: the annotation of a GenBank genome assembly